This 506-nucleotide ribosomal RNA is filed under the name uncultured bacterium. RNAcentral describes it as "partial 16S ribosomal RNA". It matches the Rfam family "Bacterial small subunit ribosomal RNA", at positions 28 to 523 of the family's 1533-position model. The record is from RNAcentral.
GAUGGACGCUAGCUACAGGCUUAACACAUGCAAGUCGAGGGGUAACAAGAGAAAAGCUUGCUUUUCUUGUUGGCGACCGGCGCACGGGUGAGUAACGCGUAUCCAACCUGCCUAUAACUAGGGAAUAACCUUGCGAAAGUAAGACUAAUACCCUAUGAUUUCCUUUGAUGACAUCAGAUUAGGAAUAAAGAUUUAUCGGUUAUAGAUGGGGAUGCGUCUGAUUAGCUUGUUGGCGGGGUAACGGCCCACCAAGGCAACGAUCAGUAGGGGUUCUGAGAGGAAGGUCCCCCACAUUGGAACUGAGACACGGUCCAAACUCCUACGGGAGGCAGCAGUGAGGAAUAUUGGUCAAUGGGCGGAAGCCUGAACCAGCCAAGUAGCGUGCAGGAUGACGGCCCUAUGGGUUGCAAACUGCUUUUAUACAGGAAUAAAGUUAGCCACGUGUGGUUAUUUGUAGGUACUGUAUGAAUAAGGACCGGCUAAUUCCGUGCCAGCCGCCGCCGUAA